AGAACACGGAAAUUCCAUUUGAAAUCUGAACAACGGAGCCACUCUACGCUUAUGUAAGGAGAAAGAUGGCGUCAAGCGUUGAGCAGAAAACCAUCAAAGUGGUUUCUGAUAAAGUUAAGAGUAUGGAGGCUGAAAUGGUUCUCGAAUUGAGUAAGAAUAUAGCACCGACAAAGAACAUAGAAACCCAAUUCAACAAUUUACUCUAUUUCUUCAGAGUGAAUCCAUUAAGACCAGUAGAGCAUGAUCAAAUCGACACCAUUCAAAAACUCUUUACAGCAUUAAGAAUGUACAGAAAAAUCGACUACGGAAACUAUGAUUUCUUUAACGAGAAAUUAAAACUGGUCAAUCCACUCAUGGCUUCCUAUGUGGACACGUAUACUGAACAAAUACGGGCAGAAAUGAAGAGGGGCAUGUCCGCUACUUGAGAUCCAGAGAAUGGGAGACGGUCACACGGUAACGAAAGAGGAUGUGAGAUCGAUCUUACCAUCAGGAAGUUUUGAAUGGUGGAAACUAUGAUCGAAGGGAGAUAAUUCCUCCUUACUUUGGCACAUCUUGCAAUGUCAGAAAAGUAACACUUGCACAGAUUACUCGAACGUGAUACAUUGAUGAACUACGUCAAUUUAUGUGGUACGUUGUACAUUUAUGUCGAAAGAUUAAUACUUUUCAUAGUGAAGUUUCUUUUCCUAAUCUACUAAAGACGACAAUAUAUAUAUGUAUAUACGUUAGAUUUUUUCUUUUUAUAAUAUUUCUUCGUCCUUAAGGAUCAUUUUUCUGCCUUUAUAAUACAUAUAUAUAUAUAUAUAUAUAUACUUGGACAGUGCUCUCUUCGCUUGCACACAUAUGUGCUUCUUUAAAUUACAUUCUGCCGAUCAUAAUAUAAAUGAAAUAUGUUGAUUUUUCCGUCAUUUUAUUUGUUCGUAAAACAUUGUUUGUCAUGUUCCACCUUGUUUUAGAUCCGGCUGUAUAUUGUCUGUAACUUUGCAUAUUUGCAAUGGAACAUGUAUUCGAACGUGUAAUAUUUGUAGGAACCUAUUUUUAACAUGGUGGUCAUAAAUACAAUGUAUGUAUAAUCAAUACAUGGCAAAAUCCCCUUAUUUUUUCUAUUAUGUUCAAUAUUCUGACCGAAACACGAAGAUGAAAAGCCCUGUAACAAAUCCAACGUCCACGCUUCAUGACAGAGACACAAUUCAUUAUCACUUCCAUAUACAAUUCAACGUUUACUCUUAUGGAUGCAAGGGACAUAACUCUUCCACAGCUAUUGCCAUACCAAGCAAUCGAUGUAAAAACAGUUGCAACUUCUACGAACUUAAGAUAUUAGAUACCGAGGUACUCAAAAACGUGCACAUAACUCCCCUUUAACCGAUGCUGUAUAGAUGUGUACGUAACAAUAUACGUUACCGGUGUAUGACACAGAGCCCGGCGUGGUAUUAGUACUACUAAUUAUUCCAGUUGAGUGUAGUUCGGUUGUAAAUUGUAAAUUUAAUAAAAAGUUUCUUUCAAAUUGACAAUUUUUCAAAUCAGUUAAAAAUAUUUCUAAUAUCCUAAUUUACAUUUAAUUCUAUGUCCAUGAAGAAUUGUACUAAGUCAAUCUUGCAAUUAAAACAUGAUAUCGAUUUUAAGUCGGUUUUAAUAGCUCCUUAGAGCUAAUGUUAUAUUGUUAUACCAUGUACCGACUCUAAAUAAAACCUUUGACUUUGACAUUGA
RNAcentral lists this long non-coding RNA (1704 nucleotides) under Mizuhopecten yessoensis (Yesso scallop). RNAcentral describes it as "uncharacterized LOC110451814". Lineage: Eukaryota; Metazoa; Mollusca; Bivalvia; Pectinida; Pectinidae. The record is from RNAcentral.